UACGGAGGGUGCAAGCGUUAUCCGGAAUCAUUGGGUUUAAAGGGUCCGCAGGCGGAUUUAUAAGUCAGUGGUGAAAGCUCUCAGCUUAACUGAGAAACUGCCAUUGAUACUGUAAGUCUUGAAUGUGGUCGAAGUGGGCGGAAUAUGACAUGUAGCGGUGAAAUGCAUAGAUAUGUCAUAGAACACCGAUAGCGAAGGCAGCUCACUAGGCCAUUAUUGACGCUCAUGGACGAAAGCGUGGGGAGCAAACAGG
This 253-nucleotide ribosomal RNA is filed under the name uncultured bacterium. Its description in RNAcentral is "partial 16S ribosomal RNA". It matches the Rfam family "Bacterial small subunit ribosomal RNA", at positions 524 to 776 of the family's 1533-position model. The record is from RNAcentral.